AGAACGAACGCUGGCGGCAUGCCUAACACAUGCAAGUCGAACGCUUCACCGGUUUCGGCCGGUGGGGAGUGGCGCACGGGUGAGUAACACGUGAAUUAUCUACCUCCGAGUGGGGAAUAACUGAGAGAAAUCUUAGCUAAUACCGCAUAACACUUACGAGUCAAAGCAGCAAUGCGCUUGGAGAGGAGUUCGCGGCCGAUUAGUUAGUUGGCGGGGUAAUGGCCCACCAAGACGAUGAUCGGUAUCCGGCCUGAGAGGGCGCACGGACACACUGGAACUGAAACACGGUCCAGACUCCUACGGGAGGCAGCAGUGGGGAAUUUUGCGCAAUGGGGGAAACCCUGACGCAGCAACGCCGCGUGGAGGAUGAAAUAUCUUGGUAUGUAAACUCCUUUCGAUGGGGAAGAUUAUGACGGUACCCAUAGAAGAAGCCCCGGCUAACUUCGUGCCAGCAGCCGC
Molecule: ribosomal RNA, 459 nt
Filed under: uncultured bacterium
Lineage: Bacteria
Description: SSU rRNA
Rfam family: Bacterial small subunit ribosomal RNA
Source: RNAcentral